This is a long non-coding RNA of Monodelphis domestica (gray short-tailed opossum), 4284 nucleotides long. RefSeq lists it as uncharacterized. Lineage: Eukaryota; Metazoa; Chordata; Mammalia; Didelphimorphia; Didelphidae. The record is from RefSeq and is a predicted model, not a curated record.
GAAGAUCAUCACAAGUAUGAUGGUAUAGGUUGGGGUGGGGGUGGGGGGGAACAACCCAUGCAAAAAGGCAAGGGCAUGGGGAUAGAGAAUAAGCCAAAACACUUUGUAUUUUAUCUUACAGGCAGUAGGGAGCCAAUGAAGUUUCUUGAGCUGAAGAGUGUCACAGUCAGAUCUAUAAAAGAAAAGAGAGAAGGAUUAUCUCCCCUGCCUGAGCCUUUCAGUUCAAAUCCCAAAGAGGAAGUUAUAUCAUGAGUGAUAAUGUUUAAAGAGUAUUGUAAUUCUUCCCUACCAUCCCAAUGGAAACCUAUUUACAAACUCUCCUAAAAAAGAACCUUUUAUUAAAAAGUCACCAGUUUCCUAACAGAAAAAUUCUCAAAAUGGAGGUGAACAAAACUAGAGUGUCCUCUCCUGCCUUCUCCCCCGAAACAAGUCUUUUUCCUAAAAAGAAAGAUACCCUGCUCAGGUAGCAUUCCAAAAGUCCCAUACCUCUUUUCAGGGCCAGGGUUAUUUUAUGAAUAAUUUAUUUGGGACCAUCUGGCCUUCAUGCCAGAGGUUGGAAUGGUGGGGAGAAUUGAGUGUAACUAAAACAAAUUAGGGAUUUGGGGAACCUCCUAUGGGCUUAAAGAAGGGGCUGAGUGGAACAGGAUGUAUGGUGUUGCUAAGGCACUAAUACAGAAGCCAUGAAGAAGAGGAGGUUUGUUGAGGUUUCCAGUUCUGUGUGUGUGUUUGUGUGUGUGUGUGUGUGUGUGUGUGUGUGUGUGUGUGUGUGUGUGUGUUUUGGGGAUAGGAGGCAGGCAGGAAAUACCAGUUCUGGACUUUUUCAGCUUGGGAAACUCCAUUCCUUUUCUGUGAUUCAUGGAGAGAAUCUAAGAGUGGGAGAAUUAAAAGAGAAGGGGCAGUGGUGGGUGGAGAGGGUGUGAGAGCAUCGAAGGGGUAGGAUGCAAGUCUUGGCUCCUGAUCCCUGUAGACAGCUGCCAGAACAUGAGAACAUCUUAGCAUGGCUGCCACCAAGCAAGGGUUUGAACGUUGGCAGCUGAACCACUAGAACUGUGGCAGAGAGGUCCUCCUUCAGGUAAGCAUUCAUUUAUUAUCUUUGUAGGUGGUACAGUGGAUAGAGCACUGACCCUGGAGUCAGGAAAGCCUGAACUCAAAUCUAGCCCCAGACACUUAAUAGCUGUGUAAACUUGGGUACCAGAUUGCCUCAGUUUCCUCAUCUGUAAAAUAAGGAUGAAAACAGUUCCCAAGAUUGUUGUGAGGAUCAAAUAAGAUAAUAUUUGGAAAACACUUAGCACCAUACAUGGCACAUAGUAGGCACUAUAUUAAUCAUAGCUAUUAUUGUUAUUAUCCACUUAAAUCUCCUUCAUGCACAAGUAUCUUUGUGCACACUCAUCUAUACACCUAUCCUAGAACCAAAUGGAACUUUCCCAGGCAAAAAUCAGGAGUGUUGCAGGUUGCAUAUAGUCCAGAGUGUUUGACCCCUCCCAACUGCCCCAUACCAACCUCCCUGAUUAACCUCUCAGAAUUGGUCAGCAAUUCCAGGAUCCCUCCUAUGAGGCAGAGAAUUCCUCAGAGUGGCUGUCCCAGGCUCCCUCUGACCAACAGUCUUAGAAUCUACUCGAAGGUUCUCCCUAUAUUUACUUCUACUGAUUUUUCCGUUUUCUCGUUUGAGGUCCAGCAAGGCAUUCCUCACUUCUCUUCGCCCCUGAUUCAGUUGGAGGAUUUCUGAGCAGUGAGGAUGCUCUAGGGAUUUUGGAAUAUAACUGAGUCUCUCAGAGGAUUUAAGGAAGGAAAUGACUUUGGGAUAUACAGUCCAAGUCUCUCAAGUGAAAAAACUGAGGUUCCAAGAGGCUAAGUGACUUAUCCAAGGUGUCUGGUUUCCAGGAGCCCUAGGACACAGGAACCAAGGAGACUGCCCAGGUUUGUCCAUAUCUAUCCCUCAAGUUCUGUCUAAGCAACACUGAUGACCAGAGAGGCCUGCAGCCCUAUGUCUGUCCUCUCUUCUAUUUUCUUGCCCUGUUGCCAUUGUAGGAACUCUUUAUGGUGCUCUGUUGGACAGAAGAGGGUAAGGUAGGGAGGGGGCUGAGUCUCUGUGUUCAGUGGUUCAUGUAGGAUAAUGGGGCUGAGAAAGGACCUUGAUUGCACCCCAUCUCAGCAUGCUAAAAAUCCUAUCAGUGGACAGUUUAGCAAAUAGGAUGUAACUUGUAGAAUAGAAUAUGCAUUCAACUAGGAAUAGACAGGCAGAUUGUAGAAUUAUGUAGAAUUCAUAGAAUUAUGAAUCUCAAAGUUAAAAGGGGCCAUAUAAACCUUCAGGUAUGGUCACCCUAGCCCAUAUCCUCUGGAAUACCCAUCACAGCUAGUCUACCUAACAUUCUGAGAGCUUUCUUGUAGCUCUCUUGACGUUGCAUGAAUAAAAGGGAUCGUCAUUUUCAGAGGAAGAAAUGGGUUCAGAGGGGGAUGGUGAUUUUUGAGAUUUCAUACAGGUGAGCAGAGUAUAACUGUUAUUCACACUCAAAUCUUUGGACUCCAGUGUUCUUUGGAGACUUCCUAGUUUUUAUCUGACUAUACCAUUAACAGUCAACUACUUUAUUAGAAUGUAGACCUGGGUACUAGUCCCAUACCUACCAUCCAUUGGCUCUGUAAUCUUGGACAAAUCAAAUAACCUCUUUGAGCUUCAAUUUUCUCAUUUGGAAAAUGGGAAUAAAAUGGACUGCCUGUUCUGUCCUUGUUAUGUUAAGUGAUCUAGAGGAAAGGUCCAAAUACAUUGGGUUGAUCCCCUAUGGAGGAUUUACCAGAGGACAUGGGUAAGAUCAGGGUAGGGUGAAAGAGUAUCUGUACAGAUCUGUUGACUUAUCUAAGAAAACCCCAUCCUAGUUAUUUCAUAGGAGUGUAGAGAAUGUAAAAUGAGAUUAGAAAAAAUGCUUUGUAAACAACAUAGGUUACUAUAUACUCACUGUCUACCUGUGAUAUGGUGUUUGGAUCACCUCAAUUCAGUAAACGUCAUUUAACCUUUGACUCCAGGUAAGGAGUAGAAGGAACUAAGUAAGGAACUACCCUAAGUAUUGAGGAUACAGAGUCCAAAUGGAAAUGGUCUUUGGUCUCAAGAAACUUACAUUCUACUAGAUACCAAUAUUAAUAAUGAUUUUAGAGAAGAGUAAAGAGAGGAAGAUGAUGCUCUGAGGGCUUUUAGCUUCAUACUGUCCCAACAAGUGUCUCAGGGAGCUCUGGAGAAGGAGGGGUUGGCAUCAGUGGGACUCUGCUUUGAGACUCUAAAGUAAUUACAGUUUCUCUGUGGAAGCUAGACUCCUCAAGGGGCCAAAGAUUAAGUGACCUGGAAGGAUUUCCUCCUCUGAGUCUUCCCCACUCAUCUCAGGGAACAAAACAGUCCCCAUCACAGAUCCUCAGCCCUUGGGGUAACUUCUUAUGGAAUGAAUGAAGCCCUGUGCUUUAACAACAUGCUUUGCCAAGUCAGGGUUGUGGGAUGGAUUCAUGGUCUUGCACUGGCAAACAUGGCGCACUGUCCUAGAAUUAACCAUUCUUAGGUCACCUGAGUUCAGGAGAACACAAACCAUGGCUCAGGUCAGGAAGGAAUAAUGGACUUCGGCACUCCCUCCCCAACUAUGCCUGCUUUAUCCAAGACUGUUUCUACCUUUGGUUAUGAAGACUCGAGUUUAAGCUCCCUUAUUCCCUCACUGACCUGGCCUAACCACCUUUGUUUCUUCAGUGAUUGCUAUAUUCCUCAGUAAGUCAAGAGAGGGGGUCAGGGAAGUAGGGCCACAUAUCCAAUACGGAAAAGCAUGGAUUGACACAAAAAGGAAUCUUUGGUUGGGGAUCCUUUGGGCUUCAGGUAUUCCCAUUUCCUGGAGUCCUGUAUCUCAGGAAAGGUGGAGCUUCCCCUAUAUCUUCCCCCAUGGCUUGUUUCAGGGUGACUUCUUUGUCUCCCUCCCCCAGCUCCUCUCCCCAUGUCCAGAAGGGAGGGAAGACCAGAUCCCAGCUAAUGCUUCCAGAAGGACAGGACAGGAUGAUGUGGGGGAGAGAAAAGGGGAACAGAAAAUGAAGGACAGCUUUGUUCUGUAGGAUUAAUGAAGUGGCUUCCAGGACUAAUAGCCCAUUUACCAACAUCUCCUCCUCUGCCUCUCCCCUCCCAAGGUAACCUGUGGCCGCAGCCCCCAACCUCCCGGAGCUGUCUUUCAGCUAGCUCCACUCCAGCUUCUUAGGGAGCUGAGAGAGGGAGAGAAAGAGAAAGGUUGUUAAAGGUCUCUAGUGGUGGGAGCUCCCCCUUUCCUU